This 433-nucleotide ribosomal RNA is filed under the name uncultured bacterium. RNAcentral describes it as "partial 16S ribosomal RNA". It matches the Rfam family "Bacterial small subunit ribosomal RNA", at positions 28 to 507 of the family's 1533-position model. The record is from RNAcentral.
AACGAACGCUGGCGGCAUGCCUAACACAUGCAAGUCGAACGAAACCGUCGGGCCUGCUGGCUCACGGGUGCGUGACGGGGGGGAACCUGCCCGUAGGAUCGGCAUAGCUCCCCGGAAUGGGUGCGAAUACCGGGUAAUGUCUUCGGACCAAAGAUUUAUCGCCUUUGGUGGGGGCCGCGUUGGUUUAGCUAGUUGGGAGGGCGAACGCCUACCAAGGCGACGAUCCGUAGCUGGUCUGCGAGGAUGCUCAGCCACACUGGGACUGGGCCCCGGCCCAGACUGCUACGGGAGGCAGCGGUGGGGAAUAUUGGACAAUGGGCGUGAGGCUGAUCCAGCAAUGCCGGGUGAGUGAUGAAGGCGUUAGGGUCGUCAAGCUCUUUUACCCGGGCUGAUAAUGACGGUACCGGGAGAAUAAGCUCCGGCUAACUCCGUG